Molecule: ribosomal RNA, 492 nt
Filed under: uncultured bacterium
Lineage: Bacteria
Description: partial 16S ribosomal RNA
Rfam family: Bacterial small subunit ribosomal RNA
Source: RNAcentral
AGUGAACGCUGGCGGUAGGCCUAACACAUGCAAGUCGAACGGCAGCACAGUAAGAGCUUGCUCUUACGGGUGGCGAGUGGCGGACGGGUGAGGAAUACAGCGGAAUCUACUUUUUCGUAGGGGAUAACGUAGGGAAACUUACGCUAAUACCGCAUACGACCUACGGGUGAAAGCAGGGGAUCUUCGGACCUUGCGCGAUUGAAUGAGCCGAUGUCGGAUUAGCUAGUUGGCGGGGUAAAGGCCCACCAAGGCGACGAUCCGUAGCUGGUCUGAGAGGAUGAUCAGCCACACUGGAACUGAGACACGGUCCAGACUCCUACGGGAGGCAGCAGUGGGGAAUAUUGGACAAUGGGCGCAAGCCUGAUCCAGCCCUACCGCGUGGGUGAAGAAGGCCUUCGGGUUGUAAAGCCCUUUUGUUGGGAAAGAAAAGCAGCAGGUUAAUACCCCGCUGUUCUGACGGUACCCAAAGAAUAAGCACCGGCUAACUUCGUG